UGGGGAAUUUUGGACAAUGGGCGCAAGCCUGAUCCAGCAAUGCCGCGUGCAGGAAGAAGGCCUUCGGGUUGUAAACUGCUUUUGUCAGGGAAGAAAUCCUCUGGGUUAAUACCUCGGGGGGAUGACGGUACCUGAAGAAUAAGCACCGGCUAACUACGUGCCAGCAGCCGCGGUAAUACGUAGGGUGCGAGCGUUAAUCGGAAUUACUGGGCGUAAAGCGUGCGCAGGCGGUUGUGCAAGACAGGUGUGAAAUCCCCGGGCUUAACCUGGGAACUGCACUUGUGACUGCACGGCUAGAGUACGGUAGAGGGGGAUGGAAUUCCGCGUGUAGCAGUGAAAUGCGUAGAUAUGCGGAGGAACACCGAUGGCGAAGGCAAUCCCCUGGACCUGUACUGACGCUCAUGCACGAAAGCGUGGGGAGCAAACAGGAUUAGAUACCCUGGUA
This 445-nucleotide ribosomal RNA is filed under the name uncultured bacterium. RNAcentral describes it as "bacterial SSU rRNA". It matches the Rfam family "Bacterial small subunit ribosomal RNA", at positions 355 to 792 of the family's 1533-position model. The record is from RNAcentral.